CAUUUUCAAACCCCAGUACGGUAAUGUGCAGUUAACCUCCUCUGUUUAGAAAAUGAAUGGUUUAAAAUGUGACCGUCUCGCCGUUAUAUUAGUAGAGAUUUCUAGAUUAAUCUUCGUACAACGUCAAAGUUCGCCAGAGUUCACGGCGCGGCGCCGAAUCACACAUUGCUCAUAUGAGUGUGCGAACUGGGAACUGAUGACACUCAACAUCCACCGAAAGCAGAUGGUAUCACAUCGGUGAAGGACUUCAAGGACUAACUGUAGACAGAGAGAUGGAGAGUUGCGUAGAGGCUUGCAAUGAAGUGCGAAGUCAGAAGAGGUCACUUACAGACGGCACGGGCUGUCAGGCAGAGAAUCAGGAGGGCAGGGGUGUAAGAGAAAAGCAGACCCCCGUGUCUGAGAGAAAACCGAGGAGGGAAAUGAAAAGGAAAGAUUGAAGAUCUCAGAUGACUGGAGGGAAAUCAACAAAUACAACAAUGCACACGCAGAGCAAAUAUACAGAAUAGAGCACAAAUUCGAGGAAGAAAACAAACCGAGGGAGUCAACGGUUUGCAUCAGAGUAGGCCCAGUGGACAUUCACUCGGAAAGUUUGGAUUUAAAUGCAUUCCAAAAGUAUGCAAGUUUUUGCGUUGAAGAAUUUUGCGUUGAGGGAAUUCACCUUAAGAUACAUUUUUUUCAUCAAUUAUUGAACACAG
Misgurnus anguillicaudatus (oriental weatherfish) is the source of this 695-nucleotide non-coding RNA. Lineage: Eukaryota; Metazoa; Chordata; Actinopteri; Cypriniformes; Cobitidae. The record is from RefSeq and is a predicted model, not a curated record.